RNAcentral lists this long non-coding RNA (3061 nucleotides) under Octopus vulgaris (common octopus). The record is from RNAcentral. Lineage: Eukaryota; Metazoa; Mollusca; Cephalopoda; Octopoda; Octopodidae.
AGGGAUGAGCUGGAAGAAGAGGGCCAUUAUGUCAAUGGUCAAGGGACUGACCAGACAAGGAAACAUGAGAAGGGAAAUGCAAGGGAGACAAGACAGGGUCACCGAAGAGAUUACUACUAGACAGGCGCUGAGGAGAGAGGAAGGUAGGUGAAGCUCUUUUCAUUUCCCACACAUGACAAGCUAUUUUGGCAAUUGUAUACAGACAUCGUUGUCCCCUUGAUAUAUGAUGGCAGCGAAGAUAAGGAUUGGCAGUGAUGUCAUCAGACCUUUCUAUGGCGAAGGUGACGUAGUAGCCUGGAUUCGAAAGGUCAAAGUUGUGGCCAGGCUACAAGGCAUCAAAGAUGUAGCGAGUCCCAUGGCCCUGUUUUUUGGAGGGGAGUGCACUGGCACUGUACCUCAAAAUGGAUGAAGAAAAAGAGCGCGGUGAAGAUCGAGCAGCACUUAAGACAGGCUUACACAGAUGGAGAGUACACCGCUUUUGUUAAGCUGGGAAUGAUCAGACGGAGAGGGGAACAGACCAACAAAUAUACUGCGGAGGUACAGAGGCUGGUUGUGUUGUCUGGUCUUACCGGUGAAGGACUUGAGGAGAGAGAAAUGCGACUGGCUUUUGUGAAUAGCUUUCCUGAUGACAUGUCAAUGCAACUACAACAGUUGCCAGGCGACAACAAAAUGGCAAUGAACGAGCUCAUUGUUCAAGCCCAUGUGUUGACACAAAGCACUGGGCAGAAGGCAGUGGUGAUGGUAGCUGCAGAAGCCUGCGAUGCUGCACGAUAGCCGAUGAAGGACAAAAAGUGGCCUGCUGUGGAACAACAGCAGCCAUUCACAGGCAGGUGACUGCAUGGAGCUUGGACUGGUUUGCUGCUGGUGCAAACAGACUGGGCAUAUCAUCUGAAAUUGUAGCCAGGGAAAAGGUCAUGGAGAAGUUGUUGCCUCUCAAACUUCCCCAGCAAACAAGUAGAGGCAUUGGUGAGGUCGUGGUCAGGGGAAACAUGUUCAAGGUCUGUGUGUGUACAUGUGUAUGUACAUGUGAACGUAUGUUUAUGUAAUGAUAUGUGUCAGUUCAAGUUGUAUACAUGACUGUUACCUUGUUGAAGGUUGUAUAUAUAUAUACACAUAUACAUUUAUAUAGACACACAUGUGUCUUCUAAAUACUCACAUACAUACGUAAAUACAUAAGUACAUACAUACAUGCGUAUAGGCAUGCACAUAUGCACGCGCACAUACAUGUACACACAUACAUACAUAUGCACAUACAUACAUAAAUACAUACAUACAUAAAUACAUACAUACAUACAUACAUACAUACAUACACACACACAUACAUACGUACAUUUAUAUCAUGAACUAACUGUUACUUUCUCAGAUGCAGCACGAAGUUUUGUCAGUGAACAAGUUGCAGUCUCAAAGCAACGAAAAUAUUUUGACAAAUUAAAUUUAAAUGUUGAAGUGAAUCUAACGGUUUUUGUGUGUUUCUUAAAUGGCUUAUAAACACCUUCCACGCUACAAUUGUUUAUAUAUAUAUAUAUAUAUAUAUAUAUAUUUCUUUUUAGGAAGUUGAUUGUUAUGACCAUUGGUUUCGCACCUAUAAAGUGCUUAACCAUGUAGGUGACUCAUCAGACUCAAAUUGCUGAAGGUGCAUAACCUCUCUACAGCUAGGAGGAAGAUGUCAUGCUCAAUUAAGUUUUGUAAACAAAAAAAUAUAUAUCCAGAGUUGUGUUACAGGCAAGACAAGGUAUCUCCCUUAUAUCUGUUCCAGCCAUAUUGAUAUUCGAAGAUGCUACCAUGGUCCUAUUCUACAAAUAGGGAAUUCUAAACUUAAAGCAGGAAACAUCUUAUAUGAGGGCAUUUUUGUUUACAAAACUAACUGAUCAUGAUGUCUUCCUCCCUCCAGUUAUAGAGAGGUUAUGUGCCUUCAGCUAUUUGAGUAUGACGAGUCAUGUAUGUUUUAGAGUAUGCUUUAAAGUAUGGCUCUUUUUUUGGAUAUACGUACUACUGACAAUAUAUAUAUAUAUAUAUUCUCUCUCACACACACACACAUGCAACAGGUUUCACUUACAAGACAUUGGUCAACCCAGGGCUAUAAUAGAAGACACCUGCUCAAGGUGCUGCACCUAUAUUUAACCACUAAAGAGCAAUUCAGAGUUCAGAGUCAUCUGCAGUCAAAGGAAUGCUUCUCUAAAUGUGUCAUCUCUUAUUGUUCUUACCACAAAUGAGGUAAGAAUAAUUCUAUGAGAAGAAAAAAAUAACAGUCUACUACCCUCAACAACAAUGAAAAUGGUGGCAAGUGAACAAGCUAAUGCCUGGUAUAGAUGUAUGCUAGGAAAUUUAGAAAUUCCUAACUAACUGAGAACUAGAUAUGACAAAGUAAAGUAACAAAAUGCUGAUACAGUUCUUUCAACAAUACCACAUGUAGUACAGAGCCACAAGCUAUGCAACGUCUGUUAAGAUAUCAUCAUAUGAAAGAAUCAUGCAUUUUUGCUGACUAUGAAAUGCUCAAUGAAGAUGUAGAGAAAUGUUUUCAGUAAAUUCGAUAAAAAUAAUUAAUUAAAAAAAUAAGCAAUUUGCUUAGAUCUUUUUACCAACAAAAAAAAAAUUUUAACUAUUUCAAAAAUAUAACAACUUGGAUUUCAUCUCAAGCUGCAUAUUUUAAUAUGUAGUUCACUGAGAAAGCAGAGAAAUCUGUUCAGCUUCAAUAAAAAAAAAAUUAAUUGACUCAAUAAAAAUAUCUAGUAGAUAUUUGAAUCCUUAAAAAGCUUUUCUCUGCAGUUUGUCAUUGAGAAAAAUUCUAGCUUGAGACAAAAAAGAUGUAAAACAUGUAUUUGAAUUGGUAUUAAAUUAAAUAAAUACUUUUCUAAGGUCUUUCUACUGCCAUAAAAAUAUUAAAUAAGCUUAUUAUUUCAAAAAUAUGUAGCGGGUUUAAGCUUAAGCUGUAUAUUAACGCCUGAGUUUUUAAAUUUAUUUUAUCCAUCAACUUCAUAUUCUCAUUUCAGACAGCUAUGAAAUCAAGGUGGUACAGUUAUUGGUUUCAAAUUUUGACACAAGGUUAGCAAUUUCAGGGAGG